AUGCUUCCGAAGUAUUCUUUUCUCCGCACUUUUGGUUGUGCAUGUUGGCCUAGUUUGCGUAAGUACAAUUCACGUAAACUCGAGUUUCGCUCUAGGAUGUGUGUGUUUCUUGGUUAUAGUCCCAUGCAUAAAGGCUACAAGUGCCUUGAUCGCUCCACUGGUCGUGUUUACAUCUCCCGUGGCGUCGUGUUCGACGAGACGUUGUUUCCCUAUGCCACUCCCGGUGCCACUGUUGAUGUAUCCCAACUCCUUCCCGUGUCGUUUUCGUCAGAUGAGCCAGUUACUCAGAGUACCGACAUGCGUAAUUAUGGCAUUACCUUGUUACCGGCUAAUGCACCUGGUGUUGUUGUUAGUUCUCCUGUGCAGGUCCCCGCGACAUCAACUUCAUCGCUCGAUGUCCCUGCUCCAUCAGCGCCACCGCCUCUGCAUGCCUCGGGCGGCACGCCAGGGGCCCGCUUGCAUGCAGGCACGCAGGCUGCUCCCGGAUCGGCACUGCCUCUGCAUGCCUCGGCUGGCACGCCUGGGCCCGGCUCGCAUGCAGGCACACCCCGCUCGCCCGGGUCGGCCUCUCGUGUUGUUUCUGGUGUCGACCCCGCCCAGGCCGAUACGCCGGUCCCGGUCGUCGACCACGACCCGCGGUCUCGCUCUCCGUCGCCAGCGCGGUCAUCUGCCUCGCCGGCUCCUGACGGGGCUUCUUCGCCUGGCCCGUCUCCGGCCCGUGACGAGGCCACUUCCUCGCCCUCGUCGACAUCCUCUACACCACCAGCGUCGCUGCCUCCAGCGCCUCCCGCUGCUGAACCGGCACGGGUCAUCGUCAUGCGACAGCGCAAUGAUAUCUCUCGUCCCGAGGUGUAUCGGGAUGGCACGGUUCGAUAUCCCUAUCGUCGUCAGGCUUUUAUGGUGGAGCCUCCAUCUCAUCGUACUGCUCUCUCUGAGCCAGCUUGGCGUGCUGCUAUGGAGGCUGAGUUUGAGGCACUUCAGGCUAACAAAACGUGGAUAUUGGUACCCCGUCCACCUAGUACUAACAUUGUUGGCAGCAAAUGGAUCUUCAAAACGAAGUUCCGUCCCGAUGGUUCUGUUGAUAAAUACAAGGAGAGGCUUGUGGCUCGAGGCUUCACACAGCAGUACGGUAUAGAUUAUCAUGAUACUUUCAGUCCUGAGCAGACUCUGCUGCAACUUCCUCAUCACAUGGCCUUUAGCAAAACAAGAGACAAAAUGUCAGGUGUCGUGAGGUAA
Molecule: ribosomal RNA, 1236 nt
Filed under: Triticum aestivum (bread wheat)
Lineage: Eukaryota; Viridiplantae; Streptophyta; Magnoliopsida; Poales; Poaceae
Description: partial small subunit ribosomal RNA
Source: RNAcentral